GACUCUCGGCAACGGAUAUCUCGCUCUCUCGCAUCGAUGAAGAACGUAGCGAAAUGCGAUACUUGGUGUGAAUUGGCAGAAUCCCGUGAACCAUCGAGUCUUUGAACGCAAGUUGCGCCGAAGCCGUUAGGCCGAGGGCACGUCUGCCUGGGCGUCA
Molecule: ribosomal RNA, 157 nt
Filed under: Ipomoea nil (Japanese morning glory)
Lineage: Eukaryota; Viridiplantae; Streptophyta; Magnoliopsida; Solanales; Convolvulaceae
Description: 5.8S ribosomal RNA
Rfam family: 5.8S ribosomal RNA
About the family: 5.8S ribosomal RNA (5.8S rRNA) is a component of the large subunit of the eukaryotic ribosome. It is transcribed by RNA polymerase I as part of the 45S precursor that also contains 18S and 28S rRNA.
Source: Rfam by way of RNAcentral